This 72-nucleotide transfer RNA is filed under the name Sandaracinaceae bacterium. RNAcentral describes it as "tRNA-Cys". It matches the Rfam family "tRNA". Rfam says of the family: Transfer RNA (tRNA) molecules are approximately 80 nucleotides in length. The record is from RNAcentral. Lineage: Bacteria; Pseudomonadati; Myxococcota; Polyangiales; Sandaracinaceae.
GGCGCCGUGGCCAAGUGGUAAGGCAGAGGUUUGCAAAACCUCCAUUCACCGGUUCGACUCCGGUCGGCGCCU